Long non-coding RNA from Penaeus monodon (black tiger shrimp), 844 nucleotides. RefSeq lists it as uncharacterized. The transcript is spliced from 2 exons. The record is from RefSeq and is a predicted model, not a curated record. NCBI's taxonomy places the organism in Eukaryota, Metazoa, Arthropoda, Malacostraca, Decapoda, Penaeidae.
UCCUGAACUAGCAGCAAAGGUGUUUCCACGUGAGACAAGCAUGGUCGAAAGAAAUGUCCAAACAAGCAUUGCUAAGCCACACAGAUUUCACGCGCGCAGAUGUAUGAGUGACAAUUUUUCAAAGUUAAAUUGUCAUAGAUACGACAGAGGAACGACGGAGGAGGUGGGAGGGAAAUUUACCACCCUGUUAUAAUUGUUGGAAUUAAAGGAAGACGCGCACAUACAACCCAUGAAUGGGUCAACUGUGUUGUGAACCUGAAUUUAAAUUCUAUAGUUAGUUGGCAGAAUAUUUGAUGUGCUGCUUGGAACGACCUUGAAAUGAGCAAACCAAAGCGCUUGUUCUCAGGUUUACCGCACGCCCAGGCUUGCCAGCACUUCCGUAUUUUUCAUUUGCCCGAUAAGUGCUUUUACCAAGUAAGAACCUCUAAAUCCGCGCCUGAUUAAACGUCACUUGUUGAUGAAAAAGUGUUAUAUCUGAGAAAUCUUUACUGUGUGUUUAUUAUGCUACAAACGUCAUGUCGGGAACUGCAUACCCUAAACAAGAAAACUGUUUACUCCCAUUUUCUUCCCCGCCUUUGGUUAACUCCGCCUCCUCCUCUAACACGCCCACUGCAUGACGUCAGGGAAUGAGAGGCGGCGAAGUGUUUCCUCGAUCCUUGGCCCGAUGCACCCGACUCCCUCUUUUCCCGCCAUCGUGAUUCCUCUGUUUUCUUCUUUUUUUUUUUUUGGCGGGAAAGCCGUUCGACACAAAUCCUUCAUUGUUAUUGUUUAUUUACUGAGUUUACGUCAUUUUACUCACAUCAGAGGGGAUUAAAAAAUCAAUAAAUAAAGGAUAUAGCAACUG